UACGUAGGGCGCAAGCGUUAUCCGGAAUUAUUGGGCGUAAAGAGCUCGUAGGCGGUUUGUUGCGUCGGCUGUGAAAUCCCGAGGCUCAACCUCGGGUCUGCAGUCGAUACGAGCAAACUAGAGUGUUGCAGGGGAGACUGGAAUUCCUGGUGUAGCGGUGAAAUGCGCAGAUAUCAGGAGGAACACCGGUGGCGAAGGCGGGUCUCUGGACAGUUCCUGACGCUGAGGCACGAAGGUCAGGGGAGCAAACGGG
This 253-nucleotide ribosomal RNA is filed under the name uncultured bacterium. RNAcentral describes it as "partial 16S ribosomal RNA". It matches the Rfam family "Bacterial small subunit ribosomal RNA", at positions 524 to 776 of the family's 1533-position model. The record is from RNAcentral.